AGCACGGGCGUUCAUCUACGAAGAACGAAAUGUGGCCAUAGCGAUGACCUUGAGGUAGUAGAGAAUUUCGAUAUUGACGUUUACAAAGCCUUUUCCUAUUGGUUCUCCUCACCGCUUGUCACUCAGGACGUCAAAAGUGUCAAAUAUCUCGCCGUUAUAAUUUUCAUCAUUACAAGUGUUUGCGUUGAUUAAUUUCCGUACCUUUAUUUCUCCGUAAUAAUUGUGAUAUUCAGUGCUACUUGGCAUUUUGAUCUUCAAAAUGCUUCGCAAGUGCUGUAUACCCGGCUGUGAUAGCAGUAAUAAACGAAAAGACGUUAUGCUGCACAAAAUGCCAGCAGCCAGUGAAAAAGUGACAAUGUGGUGUAUAAAUCAGCAGUUUUCAACAUGUUGGAAAGUUUGACAUCAAAUGGAAUCGGCAAACUGUACGUUUGCCACAAACACUUCGAAGCCAGAUAUGUCUCUUCGAAGUUGCGCUUACGGCCUAACACGUGUCCAACAUUAUUUACCUACUGAAGAAGAAAUCACCACGGGACCACCGGCUCACCCUUCGGUUGAACGAGGAUUCAUUGAACUUGAAAUGAGGAACUCUGACCACUCGUAUGCAAGGAGAUGUCAUAUUGACCACACUUAUGCCAUGAGCGCACCAACAAAUAAUUCAGAUGAUGCUGCUGUUUUACCGCCAUACAUCACAACUGGAGCUGAUUCAGGUGGAGUUACACUGGAACAUAUUACAUCGAGUGUAGAACUGUCUAUUGAGCCAUCAUCCUGUCUUAAUUCAGAGCGCGUCCAAUCCAGCUCAAGUCAAGCCUGCUCGUCGCGGCUGUGAAGUCAUCGUUUGAGCCAACUUCACCACAAACAGUGGUGGACUCAUCAAAGUCUAAUGUGGCUCAGGCUUGCGUCACAACUCCGGGGCCAUCCGUCAAUUACAAUGACCUUCCUAAAG
RNAcentral lists this long non-coding RNA (943 nucleotides) under Leguminivora glycinivorella. Its description in RNAcentral is "uncharacterized LOC125239145". The record is from RNAcentral. Lineage: Eukaryota; Metazoa; Arthropoda; Insecta; Lepidoptera; Tortricidae.